Molecule: ribosomal RNA, 253 nt
Filed under: uncultured bacterium
Lineage: Bacteria
Description: partial 16S ribosomal RNA
Rfam family: Bacterial small subunit ribosomal RNA
Source: RNAcentral
GACAGAGGGUGCAACCGUUGCUCGGAAUCACUGGGCGUAAAGGGCGUGUAGGCGGGACGGUAAGUCGGGCGUGAAAUCCCUAGGCUCAACCUAGGAACUGCACUCGAAACUACCAUUCUUGAGUGUCGGAGAGGAAAGCGGAAUUCCUGGUGUAGAGGUGAAAUUCGUAGAUAUCAGGAGGAACACCAGUGGCGAAGGCGGCUUUCUGGACGAUAACUGACGCUGAGACGCGAAAGCGUGGGGAGCAAACAGG